UGCAGUCGAGCGGUAGAGAGAAGCUUGCUUCUCUUGAGAGCGGCGGACGGGUGAGUAAUGCCUAGGAAUCUGCCUGGUAGUGGGGGAUAACGUUCGGAAACGAACGCUAAUACCGCAUACGUCCUACGGGAGAAAGCAGGGGACCUUCGGGCCUUGCGCUAUCAGAUGAGCCUAGGUCGGAUUAGCUAGUUGGUGAGGUAAUGGCUCACCAAGGCUACGAUCCGUAACUGGUCUGAGAGGAUGAUCAGUCACACUGGAACUGAGACACGGUCCAGACUCCUACGGGAGGCAGCAGUGGGGAAUAUUGGACAAUGGGCGAAAGCCUGAUCCAGCCAUGCCGCGUGUGUGAAGAAGGUCUUCGGAUUGUAAAGCACUUUAAGUUGGGAGGAAGGGCAGUUACCUAAUACGUGAUUGUUUUGACGUUACCGACAGAAUAAGCACCGGCUAACUCUGUG
Molecule: ribosomal RNA, 455 nt
Filed under: Pseudomonas sp.
Lineage: Bacteria; Pseudomonadati; Pseudomonadota; Gammaproteobacteria; Pseudomonadales; Pseudomonadaceae
Description: bacterial SSU rRNA
Rfam family: Bacterial small subunit ribosomal RNA
Source: RNAcentral